This 71-nucleotide transfer RNA is filed under the name Hyla sanchiangensis (San Chiang treefrog). RNAcentral's name for it is "tRNA-Gln". The record is from RNAcentral. Lineage: Eukaryota; Metazoa; Chordata; Amphibia; Anura; Hylidae.
UUAGAGAGAUAGGAAUUGAACCUAUACCUUAGAGAUCAAAACUCCACGUAAUUCCAUUUUACAACUCCCUA